This 586-nucleotide ribosomal RNA is filed under the name uncultured Planctomycetota bacterium. RNAcentral describes it as "bacterial SSU rRNA". It matches the Rfam family "Bacterial small subunit ribosomal RNA", at positions 347 to 927 of the family's 1533-position model. Lineage: Bacteria; Pseudomonadati; Planctomycetota. The record is from RNAcentral.
GGCUGCAGUCGAGGAUCUUCGGCAAUGGGCGCAAGCCUGACCGAGCGACGCCGCGUGCGGGAUGAAGGCCUUCGGGUUGUAAACCGCUGUCAGAGGGGAGGAAGUGUCGGAGGGUUCUCUCUCCGAUUUGACCUAUCCUCAGAGGAAGUACGGGCUAAGUUCGUGCCAGCAGCCGCGGUAAGACGAACCGUACGAACGUUACUCGGAAUCACUGGGCUUAAAGGGUGCGUAGGCGGCCCGGGAAGUUGGGUGUGAAAGCCCUCGGCUCAACCGAGGAACUGCGCCCAAAACUGCCGGGCUUGAGGGAGACAUAGGUGAGCGGAACUUAGGGUGGAGCGGUGAAAUGCGUUGAGAUCCUAAGGAACACCGGUAGCGAAGGCGGCUCACUGGGUCUCUUCUGACGCUGAAACACGAAAGCUAGGGGAGCGAAGAGGAUUAGAUACCCUCGUAGUCCUAGCCGUAAACAAUGAGCACUGGUUUGGAGGGUCCUCCAUAGCCUUCCAGACGUAGCGAAAGUGUUAAGUGCUCCGCCUGGGGAGUAUAGUCGCAAGGCUGAAACUCAAAGGAAUUGACGGGGGCUCACACA